UGGUCCAGCUGUAACUUACAGGCUGUUUGAUUCAUCCCAGGCUGGGAAAGUUUUAGGCUGAAUUCUACUGUAAUAAUGUGAAUGGACAUGCGGUGUAAUGGAAGUGCGUGCGGUGCAGGAGGGACCGAGGAGUAGGAUGAAACGCGGCAAUAUGUCGCAGUGGACCCCCGCAUACGAUAUCUUCAGCGCAAUUGCAACAUCUUUUUGUGAUGACGGUGACAUUUGUUCUUGAAGAAUCUGCCUUGGGACUCGAGACCUUCUGCAUCACUCUGUGUCCAGACGCAGGUGAGCCACUGACUAACGCACGUUGCGCUAAUGCAUAAAUGCCACUGUGCGUGUGACAGCGGCUAACCAGCCUCUUGGAAUGACCCUACCGCUCCUUGUCAUUACUGCGCAGUUCACACGUCCUGCAUUUCUGCUUUAUAUAUAUAACUCGGCAUGCUCGGCUGUUUUUUUUACCUUGGCCACCCUUUUUUUUUUUCGUUUAUGUUCAGUAUACGGAACCAUUCAU
Bufo bufo (common toad) is the source of this 511-nucleotide long non-coding RNA. RefSeq lists it as uncharacterized. NCBI's taxonomy places the organism in Eukaryota, Metazoa, Chordata, Amphibia, Anura, Bufonidae. The record is from RefSeq and is a predicted model, not a curated record. The transcript is spliced from 3 exons.